Molecule: ribosomal RNA, 253 nt
Filed under: uncultured bacterium
Lineage: Bacteria
Description: partial 16S ribosomal RNA
Rfam family: Bacterial small subunit ribosomal RNA
Source: RNAcentral
UACAGAGGGUGCGAGCGUUGUUCGGAAUUAUUGGGCGUAAAGGGCGCGUAGGCGGCCUGUUAAGUCGAACGUGAAAUCCCUGGGCUCAACCCAGGAACUGCGUCCGAUACUGGCAGGCUUGAAUCCGGGAGAGGGAUGUGGAAUUCCAGGUGUAGCGGUGAAAUGCGUAGAUAUCUGGAGGAACACCGGUGGCGAAGGCGGCAUCCUGGACCGGUAUUGACGCUGAUGCGCGAAAGCCAGGGGAGCAAACGGG